UGUGCGUACAACCAUGGUAACAGUAGUUAGAACAUCGCUAAGAUGAAAUUCAACGUAUUGGCUACGGUUCUUUGUUUGAUGGCCGCGGUGGUAGUUGUUCACCCGAAAAUUUCUCAUAAUAAUUUAAUGGAACUGAGGCAGACUAGACCGCUAAUUUUCGUGCAACUUGAAUGUUUUGCCAAAAGCUUUGCCCAUGUGCCCGUAAAUUUUGUAUCGGACAUUUUAAACAGGAUACUCAAUAUACUAGGCAACGUAUCCGGAUGUCAAGGAGUACCUAGUACAAAUCUACUAAACAUUAUAGGCAACCUUUUCCGAUGUCUUUUAGGAGUGGUUUUCACGCCCAUACCUGCAAUAGGGGAUCUUUUGAAUAAUAUAUCGGGGAUAUUUAAAAAUGCCUCAAUUCCGGCCUAUAUCACAAAUUGUAUCGCCGAAGCGAACGUUACAGUCCCUACCCCGACAAGUUAAACCUAACUAUAAUUUAAGGAACACACCUUUUUGUUAGAAUUCAUUUUCUUUGUGUUAGAUGGUUUGUUGGUGGAUACAAAAUAUACAUAUUUUACAUGAAA
This is a long non-coding RNA of Photinus pyralis (common eastern firefly), 566 nucleotides long. RefSeq lists it as uncharacterized. Lineage: Eukaryota; Metazoa; Arthropoda; Insecta; Coleoptera; Lampyridae. The transcript has 2 exons. The record is from RefSeq and is a predicted model, not a curated record.